CGACUGGGCGGCCGUGCGGGGCCCCUCGUGGGCACCGGUUUCCUUUUGGCCGGUCUUCCAACCCGCACGGUUCGCCCUCUUU
RNAcentral lists this non-coding RNA (82 nucleotides) under Desulfuromonas sp. DDH964. Lineage: Bacteria; Pseudomonadati; Thermodesulfobacteriota; Desulfuromonadia; Desulfuromonadales; Desulfuromonadaceae. The record is from RNAcentral.